RNAcentral lists this long non-coding RNA (3793 nucleotides) under Homo sapiens (human). RNAcentral describes it as "HSALNT0194166". The record is from RNAcentral. Lineage: Eukaryota; Metazoa; Chordata; Mammalia; Primates; Hominidae.
CCUGGUCAUUCCUGACUUUUUGUUCUCCCAUCUAAACUUUAGAAUUUUUUUCUAGUUCCAUUUGAAAAAAAAAAAAAAGCAUUCACUCAAGUGAAAAUGCACGAACUCUAAAAUUAAUGGGAAGAAUGACCAUCUUUAUAAUAUGCACUUUGGAACUGUUCCCAUCUCCAGAUACAAUUAGAGGAAAGCACUGACCCCAUCCCAAGUCAAGCCUUGAGCCUGCAGAUUCCUGAUGGUAGGAGUGAGGGUCCUGCCCUCAGGACCCGCUGGAGGGUAGAACAGGUGGGUUGAUGUCUGCUAUAUUUCCUCUUGGGCCAACGCACUUCAGUAAAUGGUCUCUAUUUUAGAAGCCCAAAUAUCAAGAGGACUUUAGAGGACUGGACUAGGAUAUCCUGAGACUCAAAGCAUUAACAAGAUCAUGAUGCCCAUUGCCAUAAGUAAUUUAAAAGAUUUGUUUUUCAAUGACACAAAACCUCAUGUAUGCUGUGAUCUAGCUAUUCUAAUUUGGGGAACUUUCUGACAUUACUAAAAACCAAACUUCUUUGUAUUUUAGUGAAUUUCUGUGUAUCCAUUUGGGGGUGGGAGGGCUUGUUUUUCUCUUUUCUUUACAUAUUUAGCCCUCCUGUGGGGUAUUCUACCUAUAUGCAGAUUAGAAAACAACCAAGGAAAGCUAGAUUUUCUUUUUCUACCUGGGUCUCUGACUGACCUAACCAGUUGCAUCUAUUUCAGAAUGGAAACAAUUUGUACCAACAACAAACCUUAAUUAAUAAAUCCAAAAUAGAUAAAGUUUCAUAUGCUGUGCUUUGGAAAAUAACUUAUUUCUGAAUGUGAGUCAUUCUAAGAACAAACUCUAAUUGAUCAUGUAAAUUCAGCCUAUACAAAUUUGUGUUAAAUAUCAUUACUUAAUAAACUUCUUAACCACCUUCCUGAUUUUGAGCCUGCUUUCAAAUUUUAAUUAGAUGUAAUGAUCAGACAGUUAUAAAAUGCUAACAUUCAAAGAGGAAUUGAUGUACAUAGUUUUCACCCUAAUAUUUGGGACCUGCCAUUCUGGAUUCCAAAUGUAACCUGUGCAUGGUUUCUUAGGACUCACUGGGUGUGUAUCGUCUAAGGACUCUAAACGUAAUGCAUGUAAUAGUUACAUUCAUAGGAUGGCUAUGUAAUUUUAUUAACCAAACUAGUAAGCUUCAAAAUGCAAACUAUAAUACAUACAAGUUGUAGCCUGUAGUUGUUUCCAGAAUCAGACUUUUAAAGUUAAAAUUCUCAUUGUUUUUAAUUCAGAUAUCUUUUACUCUGGACUAAGAGGCAAUCCUCCCCAUUCUUGGUGUUUAACAGGAGGCAGCGACUUUAGAAUUCUCUCCCAUUUCAAGUGCCCACAAAACUGCUAUUGCUGCUUACAAAAGUUGUGCAUAAGCCUGGAUACAAAACAAACCCUAUGGGGAAAGAAAAAAAAAAACGGGUCGAUGAAUUCACCCAAGUGCAAAUUACCUCAAGAUUCAUUUUUCCCUUUUUGUAGAACUAACAAGUGAAUCUUACUGAGUUGGGACCAAAGAAACCCACUGAAGUGAGCCUUUAAGAGACAUUUGUGCUGGUGAUGACAGCAUUUUCAUGGUAAUUUGUUAAUGUUCUUGCAAAGCAGGGGUAAUUUACUCCAGUAAAAUCUAGCUAAUAGCCUUGUAGAUUUGAGGCCUUCAACCAAGGGCCACAUGCAGGCCUUGGGCGGCCUAGUGCCUGUAGGACUGCAUAACCACCAGAAGAUCUCACACCUGACCUCCUGGCUCACACCUGACCUCCUGGCUGACUCCCUUUCUCAGCCUCACACCACCGUCACAUCUCAGAUCCAGUUCCCAGUAUGGGACGUCCAAUUGGUGUUAAAGGGAGCAGGGAGCUUGGGAAGGGGCAGGGCAGAAGGCACAGCAUUUGUGAGUGUUAAACUCAGGAAGGCAUGAACCUUCAAGCUCUCUUUUUUGGAGGCAGGCUUUAACACAAAGAAAAGAAAAUGAUGUGUAAAAACAUACAUCAAUAUCAUUCAUUUUCUUUUCUGAUUAUAAAAAUAAUACACAUUCAUUAUAGAUUUUUGAAAAACAGAAAGACCUCCAAAUGGGGACAAAAGCACCAAUAAUUGUAUCUAGACAUCUUGAUGCAGUUCCUGCCAGUUUUUCUCCAUGCAGACUUUAAUUACUUUAUGCAAAUUUAUUGUGUAUGAAUACUUUUUUAAGAAAAUCUGAUUUUUUGGCCACAUAAUAUCACUAUUUGUAUGCACUGUAAGUUAUAAAAUGUUUCCAUUAUUAGACAAUAUAGGUGAUUUCCAUUAUUGCAUAACUAUAAAUAACAUAGCAGUGAACAUCCUUAUACAGAAAUCUUGGUCUCCCACUCUAAUUAGGUUUUUAAGAUAGAUUCUCAGAAGGGAUAAGUGGAAUCAACGGGCAUGGAUGUUUCAACAUAUUUGAUACAUAAAAUCAAGUCAAAUUGCUCUGCAGAAAAGCCACAUCGAUUAGACAGUGUGUUCAGCCACGUGGUAGGAGAGGCCUUUAUUAAUGCACUUUCACCAACAUUGAGUUUUUAAUCUGUGCUAAUUUGACUGGUAAAAUGACAGAUCGAAAGUCACAUUUUCAGUUUAUGUGUACAAAAGUUAUUAUAUAUAGCUCAGUUUGCUCAUAAAAUUAACAUAUUUGGGCCAUUUAGAAAGCCAUAAAAUGAGUCACUGAAUACCAAAAGUGACUUCAAAGAGCAUGGAAUAUACUGAAGGCGAAAUUGUUUGCCCAGGCCACUCUGUAGUGAUGAACUCAGGACUAAAACCCAAGAAUUCUAUUUCCCAUCCCAGCGUUCCUAAGAAGAGAUUUUUAGUAAGAUAGAACCUGCUUUAAAAUGCAGAAAGAAUGGAGAGGCGGAGGAGACUUUUAACUGUGGUUUGAUAAAGCUGUUUUCCUCACUAAUUUUUCAAUGCUUUCACACUGUCCGAGGCUGGUGGUCCUGACAUCUGGCAGCUUUUUAACCUUAACUUUUGGAGGGGAAAAGUCAAGAAAUACAAAGUUGUUUCAGAAUUAACCAAAGCAAAGUAUCACUAGGAAGCUCAGUCCAUUCCGAAGAUAUCUCAAGAGACCAUCUAUAAUAAAAUAUAAAUGACUCCUCGUGGUCUCUACCCGAGUUGUCUGUGAUUCAUUCAUGGUGAGAACAUGAAGGUAUAAAGGCCACAACUAAAGAUUUUGCUUGUUACCACGCCUUUAAAACUUCCUUUUUAAUUUUUUACAUGCAAUUCUCAAUUCUUCCCAAUGAGAGAAAGGAUCUUUGUCCCCUCCCCUUGAAUCUGGGCAGGUUUGUGACUGCUUUGACCAAUAGAGUAUGGAAGUGGUGCUAUGUGAUUUCCGAGUCUAGGUGAUAAAAGGCAAUGCAUCUUCCUCCUUCUCUUUUGGGAACACUUGUUCUUGGAGAUAUUAGCCAACCUGUGAGAAGCACCAAUACCCUGAGGCCAUUAUGAGGAAGUUCACACCACAGAGAGAGACCCUGAGUAGAUGUGCUGAUUUACAGUUCCAGCUGAAUGCAGCCUUUGAAUCACCCCAGCCCAGGUGCCAAACAUGUGAGAGAAGAAGCUUCCAGAUCAUUCCAGUCCCCAGCCAUCUGAGUCAACUUCAGCCUUUGUGUCUGCCCAGUGAAUGCCUCAGACAUCAUGAAGCAGAAGCAAGUCAUCCUUACUGUGCUCUGUCUGAAUUCCUGACUCACACAAUUAAUGAGCAUAAUAAAAUGAUUGUUGUUUUAUACUCCUGUGUUCUGGGGCAUUUGUUGUGCAGCAAAAAAG